Molecule: ribosomal RNA, 255 nt
Filed under: uncultured bacterium
Lineage: Bacteria
Description: partial 16S ribosomal RNA
Rfam family: Bacterial small subunit ribosomal RNA
Source: RNAcentral
UACAGAGGGUGCGAGCGUUAAUCGGAAUUACUGGGCGUAAAGCGCGCGUAGGCGGCUUUGCAAGUCGAGUGUGAAAUCCCCCAGGCUUAACCCUGGGAACUGCAUUCGAGACUGCAUAGCUAGAGUAUGGGAGAGGGAAGUGGAAUUUCAGGUGUAGCGGUGAAAUGCGUAGAUAUCUGAAGGAACAUCAGUGGCGAAAGCGACUUCCUGGACCAAUACUGACGCUCAUGUGCGAAAGCGUGGGGAGCAAACAGG